GACGAACGCUGGCGGCGUGCUUAACACAUGCAAGUCGAACGGCAAGGCACUGCUUUUGUGGGGUGCUCGAGUGGCGAACGGGUGAGUAACACGUGAGUAACCUGCCCUUGACUUUGGGAUAACUUCAGGAAACUGGGGCUACUACCAGAUAGGAGCUCCUGCUGCAUGGUGGGGGUUGGAACGUUUCGGCGGUUGGGGAUGGAUUGGCGGCUUAUCGGCUUGUUGGUGGGGUAGUGGCUUACCAAGUCAUUGACGGGUAGCCGGCCUGAGAGGGUGAACGGCGACAAGGCGACUGAGGGACGGAGCAGUGGGGAAUGGGGGGCAGCAGUGGGGAGUAUUGUACAGCGGGACCAAGUGUGAGGCAGCAACGCCGGGGUCGGGAUGACGUCUUGUUGGUUGUGAACAGCUUUAGCUUGUGACGAAGCGGGAGUGACGGUAAUGGGUAAAGAAGCACCGGCUAACUACGUG
This 468-nucleotide ribosomal RNA is filed under the name uncultured bacterium. Its description in RNAcentral is "partial 16S ribosomal RNA". It matches the Rfam family "Bacterial small subunit ribosomal RNA", at positions 28 to 507 of the family's 1533-position model. The record is from RNAcentral.